This 253-nucleotide ribosomal RNA is filed under the name uncultured bacterium. RNAcentral's name for it is "partial 16S ribosomal RNA". It matches the Rfam family "Bacterial small subunit ribosomal RNA", at positions 524 to 776 of the family's 1533-position model. The record is from RNAcentral.
UACAGAGGGUGCAAGCGUUGUCCGGAAUCACUGGGCGUAAAGGGCGCGUAGGCGGCUUUUCAAGCGUGCGGUGAAAGCUCGGGGCUUAACUCCGAGUCUGCCGUGCGAACUGGGAGGCUUGAGUCUGGUAGAGGUCGAUGGAAUUCCGGGUGUAGCGGUGGAAUGCGUAGAGAUCCGGAGGAACACCGGUGGCGAAGGCGACAUCCUGGACCGGCAUUGACGCUGAGGAGCGAAAGCUAGGGGAGCAAACGGG